UAGAGAGUGUCCAGCGAUCCAG
RNAcentral lists this non-coding RNA (22 nucleotides) under Arabidopsis thaliana (thale cress). Lineage: Eukaryota; Viridiplantae; Streptophyta; Magnoliopsida; Brassicales; Brassicaceae. The record is from RNAcentral.